UGCCAGCCGCCGCGGUAAGACGGAGGGUGCAAGCGUUACUCGGAAUCACUGGGCGUAAAGCGUACGUAGGCGGCCAAUCAAGUUGGAUGUGAAAUCCCACAGCUUAACUGUGGAACUGCGUCCAAAACUGGUUGGCUCGAGAACAGUAGGGGACAGUGGAACUCAAGGUGGAGCGGUGAAAUGCGUAGAGAUCUUGAGGAACACCGGUGGCGAAAGCGACUGUCUGGGCUGUUUCUGACGCUGAGGUACGAAAGCCAGGGGAGCGAACGGGAUUAGAUA
This 279-nucleotide ribosomal RNA is filed under the name uncultured bacterium. Its description in RNAcentral is "partial 16S ribosomal RNA". It matches the Rfam family "Bacterial small subunit ribosomal RNA", at positions 506 to 784 of the family's 1533-position model. The record is from RNAcentral.